UGAUUCCCCUUCGCGCCCCGGUGGGUCUGUUUCGGUGGCGUCUGUGGUGGCUGACGAAACAUGCUUUGACAGGGAGCGAGCGAGGAUCAAUGACUACAACUCCCAGAAGGCCCCACUGAUGACGUUGACGGUGUUGUUUCGGGCUUUCCCACCACAGAUGUAAGGCUCAAUGGUCUAUAAUUAUCGGGACUAUCCCUACUACCCUUUUUGAACAAGGGGACAACAUUCGCCUCCCUCCAAUACUCCGGUACAAUUCCCGUGGACAAUGAGGACAUAAUGAUCUUCGCCAGAGGCUCAGCAAUCUAUUUCCUUGCCUCGGAUGCAGAACUGGGAAGCACAGAUGGAGUUCACCACAGAUGAAGAGGUUCAUUUCUGCAGAUCAAAUUUGAACACAGAAUAUAAUAUUAAUGCUUUCCCACCACAGAUGGAAGGCUCAAUGGUCUAUAAUUAUCGGGACUAUCCCUACUACCCUUUUUGUACAAGGGGACAACAUUUGCCUCCCUCCAGUCCUCCGGUACCAUUCCCGUGGACAAUAAGGACAUAAUGAUCCUAGCCAGAGGCUCAGCAAUCUAUCUCCUCGCCUCGGAUGCAGAACCGGAAAGUGGCAGAGGGAGUUCAACACAGCUGAAGAAGUUCAUUUCUGCAGGUCAAAUUUGAACACAGAAUAUAAUAUUAAUGGAGGAGGCAGCUUUUUUUGUGAACACAGUUCUUAAAUAUUCUCUCUCUCUCUUCAGCUGUCACUCAGAAUCCAGCUCCAGCCUCUUAAAGUGACACUCGGAGUUAAGGAAACAGGAGCUGGUAACAGGUGUGUCGGUUGCUUUGGGGUGCACACUGACUGGAGGGUAGAAGGUGGGUUUUUCGGUGAGCACAGAUUUGUGGGUGCACACCGAUUUGCAGAUAUGUGAAGAGUGGGUGUGUUUGCGGAUUCGGGGGUGCACUCUGACUGGAGGGUUGAAUGUGGUUUUUUUCGGUGAGCACAGAUUUGUGGGUGCACACCGAUUUGCAGAUAUGUGAAGAGUGGGUGUGUUGGCGGAUUCGGGGGUGAACACUGACUUGGGGGAACCGGUGGAUUUCGAGGUGUUACAAAUCUCAUGGUUUUUCCCUUUAUACGGACUUCAAUAAUAAAUGCAAUAUGAAAUUUGA
Long non-coding RNA from Hypanus sabinus (Atlantic stingray), 1143 nucleotides. RefSeq lists it as uncharacterized. The transcript has 4 exons. Lineage: Eukaryota; Metazoa; Chordata; Chondrichthyes; Myliobatiformes; Dasyatidae. The record is from RefSeq and is a predicted model, not a curated record.